This 593-nucleotide ribosomal RNA is filed under the name fungal sp. FG7. Its description in RNAcentral is "eukaryotic LSU rRNA". It matches the Rfam family "Eukaryotic large subunit ribosomal RNA", at positions 41 to 664 of the family's 3401-position model. The record is from RNAcentral. Lineage: Eukaryota; Fungi.
UAUCAAUAAGCGGAGGAAAAGAAACCAACAGGGAUUGCCUCAGUAACGGCGAGUGAAGCGGCAACAGCUCAAAUUUGAAAUCGGCCCCCCGGUCGAGUUGUAAUUUGCAGAGGAUGCUUCUGGGCAGCGGCCGGUCUAAGUUCCUUGGAACAGGACGUCACAGAGGGUGAGAAUCCCGUAUGUGACCGGCGCGCACCCUCCACGUAGCUCCUUCGACGAGUCGAGUUGUUUGGGAAUGCAGCUCUAAAUGGGAGGUAAAUGUCUUCUAAAGCUAAAUACCGGCCAGAGACCGAUAGCGCACAAGUAGAGUGAUCGAAAGAUGAAAAGCACUUUGGAAAGAGAGUUAAACAGCACGUGAAAUUGUUGAAAGGGAAGCGCUUGCAACCAGACUUGUCGGUGGUGUUCCGCCGGUCUUCUGACCGGUCCACUCACCGCCGGCAGGCCAACAUCGUCUGGGGCCGCCGGAUAAGACGUCGGGAAUGUAGCUCCUCGGAGUGUUAUAGCCCCUCGUGAUGCGGCGCGCCCCGGGCGAGGUCCGCGCUUCGGCAAGGAUGUUGGCGUAAUGGUUGUUAGCGGCCCGUCUUGAAACACGG